GCCUGUUAUCCUUAACUUACUGAGUGAUAAAAUUCUGUGAUUUUUAGACUUCAAAAGUUGCCCUGCAUAGAGAUGACUCUGCUGUGAAAACAAAAUUAACCUGGGGCACAACUGAUCCUGGCCAAGCAGCGUUCACCUGGAAAUCAGGAGGAGAAUUAAAUGGUGCACAAGGUGUCUUUUUGCUGAUUCUUGCCAUGAUUAUGAAAAAAAAAAAAAAGCAGAGUGAUAUCCCAGAUCUCUCCUUCCAAGUAUGCCGCUAGUGCAAAUCCAAAGGAUGCUCAGGACCUCGUUCAAAAGUGUCUCACAAGGACACAUUUGAUGCUCCAGGAGAAGGAUUUUUUGAAUUUGCCUUUUUUAUCUGCUCCCAUGCUGUAAUCACUGCAGAAUUUAAAGAGCAUAUUCAUGUGAGAACACUUUAUUUCCUAAUUAGGGACAAUUGGUAUGUUCAGGUGAUUACUUUUCUGUGUCUGAGAAGAUACAAUCCUUCUCAGAUGGUCUGGUAUCAUGAACUUAGGUCAAAACAAAUGUUUUCUUUCACCGUUUCUUUCCCAUUUCAGUGCAUGUAAAUAAUAGCUAGGCUACAGUCAGUUUUAUUUUUAUAACAGACCUGUAAUCACAAUUCAACAAUCUAAAACAAUAAACAACUCUGUAACUACUGUUAACAGAAGAUGAGCAGCAGUAGAAUAAAUAGUUACAUAAGAAUUACUCCCAAUUAAUAAGUGUUGAAAAGUAUAGGUACAAAUACCCAUCCUCCUUUCCUGGCUGUUUAAGAGAUUUCUAAACCGAAAUAUAAGUCCAGAGCUCUCUACACAAGACCAAAUAUUAAGCUGCUCUACACUCCACACGUAAAGACCCUUUCCUAGUACAAGCAUGAGCAGGGUAUUGGGAUUUAGGCCACAUAAAUAUAAGCCCUUAACAGAAUUCUUUAAAGUGUCAGUUUUUAGUAUUUUGCAUUUUAAAAGUUCAAAGACUUUUUACACUAGGAUCAAAGUAUGGGAUUCAACCCCAAAUAUUUGAGUAUCAACACACAAGCAAGGUUUAGAACACAUCAAUGGAAUGAGUUUUGGCAAUAGGGCACUCACUCUGUGCUUAGGAGGCAUUUCAGAUUUCAUUUGACAUGCAAGGCAAUAAAUUUCUUUCAGUGCAUUUAUGUAACCGUAUUCUGCUCUUUGACACCUGGUGUAGUAAAAAUUCUUCCUGUGUAAAAAUUUGUAAAAUUAUGGAGUUUAGCUCUGAUUCCUCGGGAUACUUGUUCUAAGGUGACAAUUUUCUUAUUCU
Molecule: long non-coding RNA, 1278 nt
Filed under: Taeniopygia guttata (zebra finch)
Lineage: Eukaryota; Metazoa; Chordata; Aves; Passeriformes; Estrildidae
Description: lncRNA (ENSTGUG00000024704.1)
Source: RNAcentral